RNAcentral lists this ribosomal RNA (253 nucleotides) under uncultured bacterium. RNAcentral describes it as "partial 16S ribosomal RNA". It matches the Rfam family "Bacterial small subunit ribosomal RNA", at positions 524 to 776 of the family's 1533-position model. The record is from RNAcentral.
UACGAAGGGGGCGAGCGUUGUUCGGAUUUACUGGGCGUAAAGGGCGCGCAGGCGGCUUUGUUUGUCAGGCGUGAAAGCCCCGGGCUUAACCUGGGAACUGCGUUUGAUACGGGCAGGCUAGAGUUCGGUAGGGGAGACUGGAAUUCCUGGUGUAGCGGUGAAAUGCGCAGAUAUCAGGAGGAACACCGGUGGCGAAGGCGGGUCUCUGGGCCGAUACUGACGCUGAGGAGCGAAAGCGUGGGGAGCGAACAGG